UACGAAGGGGGCUAGCGUUGCUCGGAAUCACUGGGCGUAAAGGGUGCGUAGGCGGGUCUUUAAGUCAGGGGUGAAAUCCUGGAGCUCAACUCCAGAACUCGCCUUUGAUACUGAAGAUCUUGAGUUUGGGAGAGGUGAGUGGAACUGGCGAGUGUAGAGGUGAAAUUCGUAGAUAUUCGCAAGAACACCAGUGGCGAAGGCGGCUCACUGGCCCGAGUACUGACGCUGAUGCACGAAAGCGUGGGGAGCAAACAGG
RNAcentral lists this ribosomal RNA (256 nucleotides) under uncultured bacterium. Its description in RNAcentral is "partial 16S ribosomal RNA". It matches the Rfam family "Bacterial small subunit ribosomal RNA", at positions 524 to 776 of the family's 1533-position model. The record is from RNAcentral.